UUACAGUUUCGUCAUGAAACAGUAAUUAAAGGAGUAAUCCGCUACAAGAUGGGCCCGCGGCGCAUUAGCUAGUUGGUGAGGUAACGGCUCACCAAGGCGACGAUGCGUAGCCGACCUGAGAGGGUGAUCGGCCACAUUGGGACUGAGACACGGCCCAGACUCCUACGGGAGGCAGCAGUGGGGAAUAUUGCACAAUGGGGGAAACCCUGAUGCAGCAACGCCGCGUGAGUGAUGAAGGUUUUCGGAUCGUAAAGCUCUGUCUUCGGGGACGAUAAUGACGGUACCCGAGGAGGAAGCCACGGCUAACUACGUG
Molecule: ribosomal RNA, 313 nt
Filed under: uncultured bacterium
Lineage: Bacteria
Description: bacterial SSU rRNA
Rfam family: Bacterial small subunit ribosomal RNA
Source: RNAcentral